GAGUUCACGAGCGGUUACUCGCUGACGGAUUGCAAAUCUGUACAAGUAGGGUUCGACUCGCUAUGAACUCU
Molecule: transfer RNA, 71 nt
Filed under: Cryptococcus sp. (in: basidiomycete fungi)
Lineage: Eukaryota; Fungi; Basidiomycota; Tremellomycetes; Tremellales; Cryptococcaceae
Description: Cryptococcus sp. (in: Fungi) tRNA-Cys
Source: RNAcentral